This 532-nucleotide ribosomal RNA is filed under the name uncultured Pseudoalteromonas sp. Its description in RNAcentral is "bacterial SSU rRNA". It matches the Rfam family "Bacterial small subunit ribosomal RNA", at positions 160 to 685 of the family's 1533-position model. The record is from RNAcentral. Lineage: Bacteria; Pseudomonadati; Pseudomonadota; Gammaproteobacteria; Alteromonadales; Pseudoalteromonadaceae.
CUGCUAAUACCGCAUAAUGUCUACGGACCAAAGUGGGGGACCUUCGGGCCUCACGCCAUAAGAUUAGCCCAUGUGGGAUUAGCUUGUUGGUGAGGUAAUGGCUCACCAAGGCGACGAUCCCUAGCUGGUUUGAGAGGAUGAUCAGCCACACUGGGACUGAGACACGGCCCAGACUCCUACGGGAGGCAGCAGUGGGGAAUAUUGCACAAUGGGCGCAAGCCUGAUGCAGCCAUGCCGCGUGUGUGAAGAAGGCCUUCGGGUUGUAAAGCACUUUCAGUAAGGAGGAAAGGUUAGUAGUUAAUACCUGCUAGCUGUGACGUUACUUACAGAAGAAGCACCGGCUAACUCCGUGCCAGCAGCCGCGGUAAUACGGAGGGUGCGAGCGUUAAUCGGAAUUACUGGGCGUAAAGCGUACGCAGGCGGUUUGUUAAGCGGGAUGUGAAAGCCCCGGGCUCAACCUGGGAACUGCAUUUCGAACUGGCAAACUAGAGUAUGAUAGAGGGUGGUAGAAAUUUCAGGGUGUAGCGGUGAA